UUUACCCUAGUAACCCCUUUUAGUUUUGAAAAAAUUUACAAAGAAACUUCAGCAACCGCCGGAGACACUUCAGCCGCGGCGUCUGGCGGUGAGCGUGUGUGAGUGUUCUAUACAAUCAUUCGUUGAUCUGCUAUUCAGUUCAUAUUCAAACCCUUUUCUCCAUUUUCCACUUUCACAGCUCAACACUACUUCCCCCUCUAAUCAAAUGUUUACUAUACUUCGUCAUAAUCCGAUACCUUUUCUCUAUCUCAAAACCCUAACUUUCCCAUCAACCUCUAGACAUUAUUACCCUUUUCUCCAUCACUACCCAUCACCGUUUUCUCUUCAUUUCUGCACCAACACUUCCGAUUCACCAUCAUUUGCAGUCUCCUACCUCAUCCACAAUUUUGGCUUAUCCCCACUCUUUGCAAACAAACUCUGCUCCACUUACCGUCUUACAUUUAAGACUGCUCAAAAACCUGAUUCAGUUCUCGCAUUCUUUAGAAAUCAAGGUUUCUCUGAUUCCCAACUACACAACAUGAUUACAAGAACACCAGGGCUACUUUCCUGCAACCCCUCCAAAAGGGUUUUGCCAAAGUUUCAAUUUUUUCUCUCCAAAGGUGCUUCUAACUCUGACAUUGUUGACUUUUUGAGUAAGAACCCCUUGGUUUUGUCGGCAAGCCUUGAUAAUCACAUAGUCCCAACUUAUGAAUUGGUUUAUAGAUUCUUGCAAUCUGACAAGGACGCUAUUGCUUGUGCAAUUCACCAUCCAAAAUUCUUUGGUUCAAGACUUGUGCCAUGUAACAUCAGAUUGCUGAUUGAGAAUGGUGUGUCGGAAAAAACCAUUGCAAGGAUACUUCGGAACUGGUGUCGGUCAUUAUACACACAUAAUAUGCUGAAGCUUGUGGAGGAAUUAAAGGAUUUGGGGUUUAAUCCUUCACAAUCAAUUUUUGGUAUAGCAUUGCUUGCCAAAACAUCUGUAAACAAAACCUUAUGGAAAGAGAAAGUUGAUGCCUUUAAGAAAUGGGGUUGGUCUGAUCAAGAUGUUAUGGAAGCAUUUAGAAGGCAGCCUCAUUGUAUGUUAACAUCCAUUGAUAAAAUUAAUUUAGUGAUGAGUUUUUGGGUCAAUGAGUUGGGUUGGGAUGCUAUGGUCAUUGCCAAAGUACCAAGAAUAUUAGGGGCCAGUCUGGAGAGAACGAUCAUACCAAGAGUAUCUGUUAUACAAUAUCUUCAAAAGAAAGGUUUGCGAAAAAAGAAUGCAAGCUUAACUAAACCAUUGAUAGUUGGUAGUAAGCAUUUCUUUGACAGAUAUGUAAAUUGUUUUAAAGACGAGUCAUCUUAUAUAUUAAAGCUUUAUAAAGAAAAACUGAAUCAAGCACACGCCAAGGACAAAGCAGGCAUGUGAUGAACAAAUUUUCAGGUUCCAAUUGCAAUUACUUUGGAAAUUGCCAAUACCAAAAAUGCCAAUAAGUGUGGGCAUAUGCAAUUGUAAUAAUGGUUGCGGUACAAUUGUUGUGAAGAGGUCCCAAAUCUCAAUAUCAAGGCUAUACUUCAAUUAUUCAAAACACUAUGCCGAUAGCAUUAUGCAACAAUCUAUCCUUAUGGAUAUGGUAGAGUCAGGUUUGAAUAUCAUAGUUCAUAGGUUCACACAAUUUUCAUAAUCCAGAUGAAGGCUUAGGCUUUAUAUUGAUAAGUAAUUCCACUGGAUUCCUGAAUAGGUUUCCCUUGGUUCUCUACACAUCCUUAUUUCUACGGAAUAUUUAUAGUAUGUUUGGUUUGGCGCCAGAGGCACCAAUUGUGUGCUCUACCAAGCUUUCCCUGCAAUUUCACAGAAGCUAGAAAGCCAAGCUUCUACCUUGACGCGGAAAGUUUGCCGCUAUUUUGGCUAAACGUGAAAAAACACGUCAUGCAACCAAACGAGCCUUAGUGUAGUUUUCUAUUACUUAUGUACAAUGAUAUAAAAAAAAAUUGUCUUCUUGGGCCACCAAGGUUCAUUGUUUUAUUUCAUUCUUCGAUUUUCUCUUUUCUUUUGAAUAACAUAUUUUCCUUUUAAAAAAAAAUGGAAAUGGAUCCCAUUGCCAGAAGAGUGAUGAUAUUCUGCUGAAAGAGUAUGAGCAUCAUCAUCUACUUUCAUUUGAAGUUGAAUGAUAAGUUCUAUAGUAGCAUCAUGCAGCUCAUACUGCUGGAUAAGUAUAUAUAUUCAAAUAAAAGGUAUAUACCCUAGUUGAAUGAUUGUUUAAAUGUGAGUCUCCAUUUAGUUCUA
Cicer arietinum (chickpea) is the source of this 2242-nucleotide non-coding RNA. The record is from RefSeq and is a predicted model, not a curated record. NCBI's taxonomy places the organism in Eukaryota, Viridiplantae, Streptophyta, Magnoliopsida, Fabales, Fabaceae.